This 220-nucleotide small nucleolar RNA is filed under the name Corchorus capsularis. RNAcentral describes it as "snoRNA snoZ112". The stretch from base 2 to 66 matches the Rfam family "Small nucleolar RNA U49". The record is from RNAcentral. Lineage: Eukaryota; Viridiplantae; Streptophyta; Magnoliopsida; Malvales; Malvaceae.
UUCCCAAUGAGGAAGAAUUCCCAUGGAUAGGAAGUGCCGUAUGACACUUUACACAGCAGCGGCAACGCCGCUAGGGGAAAUCCCGUUUUCCCAUCCGCCAGUCGCCAGGCCCCUCUGAUUCUUGUUCUUAGGAGCUUUGUCGAUUGGCCGGGAAUCCACGCGGGGUUUCCUCAUAGCUUGUUCCGCUGUGUGGUUGAUUUGAAACGGGUCUCUGAGGGUU